GUUUCAAGCCUUGGAUCUGAGCCGCCACCUCUAUUGUGCAGUAGAUGAGCCUAACCCCUCGCUUUCUUGCUAUGCAUCGGCCGCUCCUCCAUUUCCUUUCUAGCACCUCAUAUGUCGGCGUUCAGCAUUCCGGCAAAAUCAGGUAUUAAGGCAAACCAGAUUCCAACGACUCUAGCCAACCAUUAGAGCAGCCGCAACCAUGGCCGCAAAGAGACCGAAGGAAACGGAAUUGUCGAGAUGGCCAUAGGCUACCAUCAAUAUGGGCAAGAUAUGACUACAGCAGCAAUGCAGCCUUGCAGGGAUGCUAUCUCUUUCAAUUCAAUUCCUGAUUUCUGAAGAGAAGAAGAAGAAGAAGAAGGAGGAGGAGGAUAUAUCCUCUCUCUCUCUCUCUCGAGUUACCUUCUCUCUUGACUCUCCUCUCUAUAUUUCAGAAGAAUAUUCACAGAAACCUUGGUUGAAAGUGAUCUCACCAUCCACAGCAGUCCGCAGCAGUCCACCUCUUCAAUUGUUCACAUCAUCACUCUCAUCUGGUUUGGGUCAAUGGAUGGUUCCAAUGUCUCAUGUAUUUAAAGAGUUAAUCUAAUGAAGGAAACAGCAAGAGUCAUAUUCAAUGUCAUCUUCUUUGUUAUGAGAUCUGAGGAUGUUUUCCCUCAACGCCUCGCCCUCGUCUUGCUCUUGAGCUCAAAGGAUCUGGGUCGUGUCUUGAGAAUUCAUCCCACAAGCUCCUCUCUCAACGCCUCGCCCUUUUCUUGCUCUUUAGCUCAAAGGAUCUAGUGCAAAUAUCAACUUGUGGUUCUCUUCAGGAUUUGACUUUCUAAUUGCGUGCCAAUUUCCCUUGAAUUACAACUUAUAAGGUAGCUGACAGGCACAUAGCCUUCACACAGUUGAACCUGGUGAUUGUAUGGAUAGGAAGCAGCAUAUUGCAAUAUUUACUACUGCGAGUCUUCCAUGGAUGACUGGAACUGCUGUUAAUCCUCUAUUUCGUGCUGCAUACCAUACAAGAGAUGGGGAGAGAAAGGUUACUUUGGUGAUUCCAUGGCUAUCUUUAAAGGAUCAACUAAGAUCAAGUGUGCAUUUGGCCAAGUCUUUCUUAUUGGAAGAAGAUCCAAUCAUGCCCGGAGCUUUAGUGACCAAAUUUUUUUAUGUGGUACAGUUAGUUCAAAGCAUAUAAGGGAAAUUUCUGCAUUCACUCAAACAAAUUCUCCUAUCCGAAUGUGGAUCAGGUCAUUCUCUUCAGACUGCGGUACGUGUUACAUGUGUGCCAUUAAGAAGAUUUUUUGCUGGGGAUCAUCCUUUUCUCAAAGCAGCUUAAACUUAAAUUCUCCAUUGUUGUGCUUUAGAUGGCUUGGUUGAUGCUAUCCUCCCUUUCAUGGGUGAAUCUAUCAUGGAUGGCACAUUGGCAAAGUUUUUGAAGAGUAUGUUGUGUUAUUAUUUGUCUCUAUUUUUGGUUUGAGUUUGUGAACAUGCAAAAUACAUAUGAGAAAAGGAUGCUCCAGUCAUUUCAAAGAA
This is an RNA transcript of Macadamia integrifolia, 1509 nucleotides long. RefSeq lists it as uncharacterized. The transcript is spliced from 10 exons. The record is from RefSeq and is a predicted model, not a curated record. Lineage: Eukaryota; Viridiplantae; Streptophyta; Magnoliopsida; Proteales; Proteaceae.